RNAcentral lists this ribosomal RNA (1264 nucleotides) under human gut metagenome. RNAcentral describes it as "bacterial LSU rRNA". It matches the Rfam family "Bacterial large subunit ribosomal RNA", at positions 783 to 2060 of the family's 2925-position model. The record is from RNAcentral.
GGCACGUUGAAAAGUGCUUGGAUGACUUGUGGGUAGCGGAGAAAUUCCGAACGAACUUGGAGAUAGCUGGUUCUCUCCGAAAUAGCUUUAGGGCUAGCGUCGACAGAAAGAUUCUUGGAGGUAGAGCACUGUUUGGGUGAGGGGUCCAUCCCGGAUUACCAAUCUCAGAUAAACUCCGAAUGCCAAUGAAUUAUGGUCGGCAGUCAGACUGCGAGUGCUAAGAUCCGUAGUCGAAAGGGAAACAGCCCAGACCACCAGCUAAGGUCCCAAAAUAAUUGUUAAGUGGAAAAGGAUGUGGGGUUGCACAGACAACUAGGAUGUUAGCUUAGAAGCAGCUAUUCAUUCAAAGAGUGCGUAAUAGCUCACUAGUCGAGUGACCCUGCGCCGAAAAUGUACCGGGGCUAAAACAAUUUACCGAAGCUGUGGAUCCUUUAGGGGAUGGUAGGAGAGCGUUCUAUGUGUGGUGAAGGUGUACCGUGAGGAGCGCUGGAACGCAUAGAAGUGAGAAUGCCGGUAUGAGUAGCGCAAGACAGGUGAGAAUCCUGUCCACCGUAAGACUAAGGUUUCCAGGGGAAGGCUCGUCCGCCCUGGGUUAGUCGGGACCUAAGGAGAGACCGAAAGGUGUAUCCGAUGGCCAACAGGUAGAGAUUCCUGUACUAGAGUAUAGAGUGAAGGAGGGACGCAGUAGGCUAACUCAAGCGUGCGAAUGGAAGAGCACGUCUAAGCAGUGAGGUGUGAUAGGAGUCAAAUGCUUCUAUCUGUAACAUUGAGCUGUGAUGGGGAGCGAAGUUUAGUAGCGAAGUGAGUGACGUCACACUGCCAAGAAAAGCUUCUAGCGUUAAUUUAUACUCUACCCGUACCGCAAACCGACACAGGUAGUCGAGGCGAGUAGCCUCAGGUGAUCGAGAGAACUCUCGUUAAGGAACUCGGCAAAAUGACCCCGUAACUUCGGGAGAAGGGGUGCUCAGUAUAACUGAGCCGCAGUGAAUAGGCCCAAGCAACUGUUUAUCAAAAACACAGCUCUCUGCUAAAUCGUAAGAUGAUGUAUAGGGGGUGACGCCUGCCCGGUGCUGGAAGGUUAAGAGGAGUGCUUAGACGUAAGUCAAAGGUAUGAAUUGAAGCCCCAGUAAACGGCGGCCGUAACUAUAACGGUCCUAAGGUAGCGAAAUUCCUUGUCGGGUAAGUUCCGACCCGCACGAAAGGCGUAAUGAUUUGGGCACUGUCUCAACGAGAGACUCGGUGAAAUUUUAGUACCUGUGAAGAU